RNAcentral lists this ribosomal RNA (1530 nucleotides) under Escherichia coli. RNAcentral describes it as "bacterial SSU rRNA". It matches the Rfam family "Bacterial small subunit ribosomal RNA". Lineage: Bacteria; Pseudomonadati; Pseudomonadota; Gammaproteobacteria; Enterobacterales; Enterobacteriaceae. The record is from RNAcentral.
AGAGUUUGAUCAUGGCUCAGAUUGAACGCUGGCGGCAGGCCUAACACAUGCAAGUCGAACGGUAACAGAAAGCAGCUUGCUGCUUCGCUGACGAGUGGCGGACGGGUGAGUAAUGUCUGGGAAACUGCCUGAUGGAGGGGGAUAACUACUGGAAACGGUAGCUAAUACCGCAUAACGUCGCAAGACCAAAGAGGGGGACCUUCGGGCCUCUUGCCAUCGGAUGUGCCCAGAUGGGAUUAGCUUGUUGGUGGGGUAACGGCUCACCAAGGCGACGAUCCCUAGCUGGUCUGAGAGGAUGACCAGCCACACUGGAACUGAGACACGGUCCAGACUCCUACGGGAGGCAGCAGUGGGGAAUAUUGCACAAUGGGCGCAAGCCUGAUGCAGCCAUGCCGCGUGUAUGAAGAAGGCCUUCGGGUUGUAAAGUACUUUCAGCGGGGAGGAAGGGAGUAAAGUUAAUACCUUUGCUCAUUGACGUUACCCGCAGAAGAAGCACCGGCUAACUCCGUGCCAGCAGCCGCGGUAAUACGGAGGGUGCAAGCGUUAAUCGGAAUUACUGGGCGUAAAGCGCACGCAGGCGGUUUGUUAAGUCAGAUGUGAAAUCCCCGGGCUCAACCUGGGAACUGCAUCUGAUACUGGCAAGCUUGAGUCUCGUAGAGGGGGGUAGAAUUCCAGGUGUAGCGGUGAAAUGCGUAGAGAUCUGGAGGAAUACCGGUGGCGAAGGCGGCCCCCUGGACGAAGACUGACGCUCAGGUGCGAAAGCGUGGGGAGCAAACAGGAUUAGAUACCCUGGUAGUCCACGCCGUAAACGAUGUCGACUUGGAGGUUGUGCCCUUGAGGCGUGGCUUCCGGAGCUAACGCGUUAAGUCGACCGCCUGGGGAGUACGGCCGCAAGGUUAAAACUCAAAUGAAUUGACGGGGGCCCGCACAAGCGGUGGAGCAUGUGGUUUAAUUCGAUGCAACGCGAAGAACCUUACCUGGUCUUGACAUCCACGGAAGUUUUCAGAGAUGAGAAUGUGCCUUCGGGAACCGUGAGACAGGUGCUGCAUGGCUGUCGUCAGCUCGUGUUGUGAAAUGUUGGGUUAAGUCCCGCAACGAGCGCAACCCUUAUCCUUUGUUGCCAGCGGUCCGGCCGGGAACUCAAAGGAGACUGCCAGUGAUAAACUGGAGGAAGGUGGGGAUGACGUCAAGUCAUCAUGGCCCUUACGACCAGGGCUACACACGUGCUACAAUGGCGCAUACAAAGAGAAGCGACCUCGCGAGAGCAAGCGGACCUCAUAAAGUGCGUCGUAGUCCGGAUUGGAGUCUGCAACUCGACUCCAUGAAGUCGGAAUCGCUAGUAAUCGUGGAUCAGAAUGCCACGGUGAAUACGUUCCCGGGCCUUGUACACACCGCCCGUCACACCAUGGGAGUGGGUUGCAAAAGAAGUAGGUAGCUUAACCUUCGGGAGGGCGCUUACCACUUUGUGAUUCAUGACUGGGGUGAAGUCGUAACAAGGUAACCGUAGGGGAACCUGCGGUUGGAUCACCU